GCUGGGCAUGGUGGCGCACUCCAGUAAUCCCAGAGACUCAGGAGGCUAAGACAGGAGGAUUCCAAGUUUGAGGACAACCUCAGCAACUUUGCAGACCCUGUCUCAA
Molecule: small RNA, 106 nt
Filed under: Marmota monax (woodchuck)
Lineage: Eukaryota; Metazoa; Chordata; Mammalia; Rodentia; Sciuridae
Source: RNAcentral